RNAcentral lists this unclassified non-coding RNA (451 nucleotides) under Heterourosomoida lanceolata. RNAcentral's name for it is "partial contains ITS1, 5.8S rRNA and ITS2". The stretch from base 119 to 270 matches the Rfam family "5.8S ribosomal RNA". Lineage: Eukaryota; Ciliophora; Spirotrichea; Sporadotrichida; Oxytrichidae. The record is from RNAcentral.
CAACCUAAACCUAGCCUUCAGUUGUUGCCUAGAUUGAGCUAGCGAAAGCAGGCUUAUCUGAGCAACAUCUACCAAAUCUAAACAAAUGGAGCCUAACUAAGCUCAAACACUAAAACCAAAUUCUCAACGAUGGAUAUCUUGGUUCCCAUAACGAUGAAGAACGCAGCGAAGUGCGAUAAGCAGUGCGAAUUGCAGAACCGUGAGUCAUCAGAUUUUUGAACGCAACUGGCACUGACUGGUCCUCCAGUCAGUAUGCUUGUUUCAGUGUCUUGUUCUCUCCUCACCCAAAUCUUAAUGUGAGAGAUACCCUUCUCUUACUAAGUACGAAAGCACUCUGUAUUCUGCAGGCAUCCAGAUUGGAUGCACUCAAUGCAGCAGUCACAUUUCCAAUGUGAACUCAUUGAGAGUAGAGACAGCGCAGGAAACUGCAAGUGCUUAGACACUAAAACUU